RNAcentral lists this ribosomal RNA (497 nucleotides) under uncultured bacterium. RNAcentral's name for it is "partial 16S ribosomal RNA". It matches the Rfam family "Bacterial small subunit ribosomal RNA", at positions 28 to 507 of the family's 1533-position model. The record is from RNAcentral.
GAUGAACGCUGGCGGCGUGCCUAAUACAUGCAAGUCGAGCGAACAGACGAGGAGCUUGCUCCUCCGACGUUAGCGGCGGACGGGUGAGUAACACGUGGAUAACCUACCUAUAAGACUGGGAUAACUUCGGGAAACCGGAGCUAAUACCGGAUAAUAUAUUGAACCGCAUGGUUCAAUAGUGAAAGACGGUUUUGCUGUCACUUAUAGAUGGAUCCGCGCCGCAUUAGCUAGUUGGUAAGGUAACGGCUUACCAAGGCAACGAUGCGUAGCCGACCUGAGAGGGUGAUCGGCCACACUGGAACUGAGACACGGUCCAGACUCCUACGGGAGGCAGCAGUAGGGAAUCUUCCGCAAUGGGCGAAAGCCUGACGGAGCAACGCCGCGUGAGUGAUGAAGGUCUUCGGAUCGUAAAACUCUGCUAUUAGGGAAGAACAAAUGUGUAAGUAACUAUGCACGUCUUGACGGUACCUAAUCAGAAAGCCACGGCUAACUACGUG